UACGUAGGGGGCGAGCGUUGUCCGGAAUCAUUGGGCGUAAAGAGCGUGUAGGCGGCUUGGCAAGUCUGACGUGAAAGCCCGCGGCUCAACCGCGGGAUUGUCGUUGGAAACUGGCCUCGCUAGAGUCCGGAAGAGGAGAGCGGAAUUCCUGGUGUAGCGGUGGAAUGCGCAGAUAUCGAGGAAGAACACCCGGUGGCGAAGGCGGCUCUCUGGGACGGUACUGACGCUGAGACGGCGAAAGCGUGGGGAGCGAACAGG
This 258-nucleotide ribosomal RNA is filed under the name uncultured bacterium. RNAcentral describes it as "partial 16S ribosomal RNA". It matches the Rfam family "Bacterial small subunit ribosomal RNA", at positions 524 to 776 of the family's 1533-position model. The record is from RNAcentral.